AGUUUGAUCCUGGCUCAGAAUGAACGCUGGCGGUAGGCUUAAUACAUGCAAGUCGGACGGAAACGAUAAAGAGCUUGCUCUUUAGGCGUCGAGUGGCGGACGGGUGAGUAACGCGUGGGAAUCUACCCUAUAGUUGGGGACAACAUAUGGAAACGUAUGCUAAUACCGAAUGUGCUCUACGGAGUAAAGGAGCCCUCUUCCUGAAAGGUUUCGCUAUAGGAUGAGCCCGCGUUAGAUUAGCUAGUUGGUAAGGUAAUGGCUUACCAAGGCGACGAUCUAUAGCUGGUUUGAGAGGAUGAUCAGCCACACUGGGACUGAGAUACGGCCCAGACUCCUACGGGAGGCAGCAGUGGGGAAUAUUGCGCAAUGGACGAAAGUCUGACGCAGCAAUACCGCGUGUGUGAAGAAGGCCUUCGGGUUGUAAAGCACUUUCAGUAGGGAGGAAAAGUAAGUAGUUAAUAACUGCUUACCCUGACGUUACCUACAGAAGAAGCACCGGCUAACUCCGUGCCAGCAGCCGCGGUAAUACGGAGGGUGCAAGCGUUAAUCGGAAUUACUGGGCGUAAAGCGCGCGUAGGCGGUUAGAUAAGUCAGAUGUGAAAGCCCCGGGCUCAACCUGGGAACUGCAUUUGAAACUGUUUAACUAGAGUGUGGUAGAGGAGAGUGGAAUUUCAGGUGUAGCGGUGAAAUGCGUAGAUAUCCGGAGGAACACCAGUGGCGAAGGCGGCUUCCUGGACCAACACUGACACUGAGGUGCGAAAGCGUGGGGAGCGAACAGGAUUAGAUACCCUGGUAGUCCACGCCGUAAACGAUGAGAACUAGAUGGUUGGGGGGCAUGUCCCUUUAGUGUCGAAGCUAACGCGAUAAGUUCUCCGCCUGGGGAGUACGGCCGCAAGGUUAAAACUCAAAUGAAUUGACGGGGGCCCGCACAAGCGGUGGAGCAUGUGGUUUAAUUCGAUACAACGCGAAGAACCUUACCUGGCCUUGACAUCCCGAGAAUUUACUAGAGAUAGUUUAGUGCCUUCGGGGAACACUAACCCAAGGUGCUGCAUGGGUGUCGUCAGCUCGUGUCGUGAGAUGUUGGGUUAAGUCCCGUAACGAGCACAACCCUUAUCCUUAGUUGCCAUCAUUUAGUUGGGGACUCUAAGGAGACUGCCGGUGACAAACCGGAGGAAGGUGGGGACGACGUCAAGUCAUCAUGGCCCUUACGACCUGGGCUACACACGUGCUACAAUGGUAGGUACAGAGGGCAGCGAACUAGCGAUAGUGAGCGAAUCCCAGAAAGCCGGUCGUAGUCCGGAUUGGAGUCUGCAACUCGACUCCAUGAAGUCGGAAUCGCUAGUAAUCGUGGAUCAGAAUGCCGCGGUGAAUACGUUCCCGGGCCUUGUACACACCGCCCGUCACACCAUGGGAGUGGGUUGCAAAAGAAGUAGGUAGCUUAACCUUUGGGAGGGCGCUUACCACUUUGUGAUUCAUGACUGGGGUGAAGUCGUAACAAGGUAGCC
RNAcentral lists this ribosomal RNA (1505 nucleotides) under uncultured prokaryote. Its description in RNAcentral is "partial 16S ribosomal RNA". It matches the Rfam family "Bacterial small subunit ribosomal RNA". The record is from RNAcentral.